AUUGAACGCUGGCGGCAUGCCUUACACAUGCAAGUCGAACGGCAGCACGGGGGCAACCCUGGUGGCGAGUGGCGAACGGGUGAGUAAUACAUCGGAAUGUACCCAGUAGUGGGGGAUAACUAGUCGAAAGAUUAGCUAAUACCGCAUACGCACUAUGGUGGAAAGCGGGGGAUCGCAAGACCUCGCGCUAUUGGAGCAGCCGAUGUCCGAUUAGGUAGUUGGUGGGGUAAAAGCCUACCAAGCCCGCGAUCGGUAACUGGUCUGAGAGGACGACCAGUCACACUGGGACUGAGACACGGCCCAGACUCCUACGGGAGGCAGCAGUGGGGAAUUUUGGACAAUGGGGGAAACCCUGAUCCAGCAAUGCCGCGUGUGUGACGAAGG
Molecule: ribosomal RNA, 384 nt
Filed under: uncultured bacterium
Lineage: Bacteria
Description: bacterial SSU rRNA
Rfam family: Bacterial small subunit ribosomal RNA
Source: RNAcentral